UACGGAGGGUGCGGGCGUUGUCCGGAUUUAUUGGGUUUAAAGGGUGCGUAGGUGGCUUUUUAAGUCAGUGGUGAAAUACAGCCGCUCAACGGUUGAGGUGCCAUUGAUACUGAAGAGCUUGAAACAAGUGGAGGCUGCCGGAAUGGAUGGUGUAGCGGUGAAAUGCAUAGAUAUCAUCCAGAACACCGAUUGCGAAGGCAGGUGGCUACGUUUGAUUUGACACUGAGGCACGAAAGCAUGGGGAGCAAACAGG
This 253-nucleotide ribosomal RNA is filed under the name uncultured bacterium. RNAcentral describes it as "partial 16S ribosomal RNA". It matches the Rfam family "Bacterial small subunit ribosomal RNA", at positions 524 to 776 of the family's 1533-position model. The record is from RNAcentral.